Molecule: ribosomal RNA, 253 nt
Filed under: uncultured bacterium
Lineage: Bacteria
Description: partial 16S ribosomal RNA
Rfam family: Bacterial small subunit ribosomal RNA
Source: RNAcentral
UACGGAGGAUCCAAGCGUUAUCCGGAUUCAUUGGGUUUAAAGGGUGCGUAGGCGGAACGAUAAGUCAGUGGUGAAAGCCUGUAGCUUAACUACAGAACUGCCAUUGAUACUGUCGAUCUUGAGUAUAUUUGAUGUGGGCGGAAUGUGUCAUGUAGCGGUGAAAUGCUUAGAUAUGACACAGAACACCGAUUGCGAAGGCAGCUCACAAAACUAUAACUGACGCUGAGGCACGAAAGCGUGGGGAUCAAACAGG